This 73-nucleotide transfer RNA is filed under the name Pteropus alecto (black flying fox). It matches the Rfam family "tRNA". From Rfam's summary of the family: Transfer RNA (tRNA) molecules are approximately 80 nucleotides in length. Their secondary structure includes four short double-helical elements and three loops (D, anti-codon, and T loops). Lineage: Eukaryota; Metazoa; Chordata; Mammalia; Chiroptera; Pteropodidae. The record is from Rfam by way of RNAcentral.
GGUUCCAUAGUGUAGCGGUUAGCACGUCUGCUUUAUACGCAGAAGGUCCUGGGUUCAUGCUCCAGUGGAGUCA